GAGUGAAAUAGAACCUGAAACCGUGUGCUUACAAGUAGUCAGAGCCCGUUAAUGGGUGAUGGCGUGCCUUUUGUAGAAUGAACCGGCGAGUUACGAUUUGAUGCAAGGUUAAGCAGUAAAUGUGGAGCCGUAGCGAAAGCGAGUCUGAAUAGGGCGUUUAGUAUUUGGUCGUAGACCCGAAACCAGGUGAUCUACCCUUGGUCAGGUUGAAGUUCAGGUAACACUGAAUGGAGGACCGAACCGACUUACGUUGAAAAGUGAGCGGAUGAACUGAGGGUAGCGGAGAAAUUCCAAUCGAACCUGGAGAUAGCUGGUUCUCUCCGAAAUAGCUUUAGGGCUAGCCUCAAGUGAUGAUUAUUGGAGGUAGAGCACUGUUUGGACGAGGGGCCCCUCUCGGGUUACCGAAUUCAGACAAACUCCGAAUGCCAAUUAAUUUAACUUGGGAGUCAGAACAUGGGUGAUAAGGUCCGUGUUCGAAAGGGAAACAGCCCAGACCACCAGCUAAGGUCCCAAAAUAUAUGUUAAGUGGAAAAGGAUGUGGCGUUGCCCAGACAACUAGGAUGUUGGCUUAGAAGCAGCCAUCAUUUAAAGAGUGCGUAAUAGCUCACUAGUCGAGUGACACUGCGCCGAAAAUGUACCGGGGCUAAACAUAUUACCGAAGCUGUGGAUUGUCCUUUGGACAAUGGUAGGAGAGCGUUCUAAGGGCGUUGAAGCAUGAUCGUAAGGACAUGUGGAGCGCUUAGAAGUGAGAAUGCCGGUGUGAGUAGCGAAAGACGGGUGAGAAUCCCGUCCACCGAUUGACUAAGGUUUCCAGAGGAAGGCUCGUCCGCUCUGGGUUAGUCGGGUCCUAAGCUGAGGCCGACAGGCGUAGGCGAUGGAUAACAGGUUGAUAUUCCUGUACCACCUAUAAUCGUUUUAAUCGAUGGGGGGACGCAGUAGGAUAGGCGAAGCGUGCGAUUGGAUUGCACGUCUAAGCAGUAAGGCUGAGUAUUAGGCAAAUCCGGUACUCGUUAAGGCUGAGCUGUGAUGGGGAGAAGACAUUGAGUCUUCGAGUCGUUGAUUUCACACUGCCGAGAAAAGCCUCUAGAUAGAAAAUAGGUGCCCGUACCGCAAACCGACAC
This 1121-nucleotide ribosomal RNA is filed under the name Staphylococcus aureus. RNAcentral describes it as "partial 23S ribosomal RNA". It matches the Rfam family "Bacterial large subunit ribosomal RNA", at positions 536 to 1660 of the family's 2925-position model. The record is from RNAcentral. Lineage: Bacteria; Bacillati; Bacillota; Bacilli; Caryophanales; Staphylococcaceae.